This 892-nucleotide ribosomal RNA is filed under the name uncultured bacterium. RNAcentral's name for it is "bacterial SSU rRNA". It matches the Rfam family "Bacterial small subunit ribosomal RNA", at positions 8 to 916 of the family's 1533-position model. The record is from RNAcentral.
AGAGUUUGAUCCUGGCUCAGGACGAACGCUGGCGGCGUGCUUAACACAUGCAAGUCGAGCGGUAAGGCCUUUCGGGGUACACGAGCGGCGAACGGGUGAGUAACACGUGGGUGAUCUGCCCUGCACUCUGGGAUAAGCUUGGGAAACUGGGUCUAAUACCGGAUAUGACCGCAUGCCGCAUGGUGUGUGGUGGAAAGAUUUAUCGGUGCAGGAUGGGCCCGCGGCCUAUCAGCUUGUUGGUGGGGUAAUGGCCUACCAAGGCGACGACGGGUAGCCGACCUGAGAGGGUGACCGGCCACACUGGGACUGAGACACGGCCCAGACUCCUACGGGAGGCAGCAGUGGGGAAUAUUGCACAAUGGGCGGAAGCCUGAUGCAGCGACGCCGCGUGAGGGAUGAAGGCCUUCGGGUUGUAAACCUCUUUCAGCAGGGACGAAGCGUGAGUGACGGUACCUGCAGAAGAAGCACCGGCUAACUACGUGCCAGCAGCCGCGGUAAUACGUAGGGUGCGAGCGUUGUCCGGAAUUACUGGGCGUAAAGAGUUCGUAGGCGGUUUGUUGCGUCUGCUGUGAAAACGCGGGGCUUAACUUCGCGCGUGCAGUGGGUACGGGCAGGCUAGAGUGCGGUAGGGGAGAUUGGAAUUCCUGGUGUAGCGGUGGAAUGCGCAGAUAUCAGGAGGAACACCGAUGGCGAAGGCAGGUCUCUGGGAAACAACUGACGCUGAGGAACGAAAGCGUGGGUAGCAAACAGGAUUAGAUACCCUGGUAGUCCACGCCGUAAACGGUGGGCGCUAGGUGUGGGUUCCUUCCACGGGAUCUGUGCCGUAGCUAACGCAUUAAGCGCCCCGCCUGGGGAGUACGGCCGCAAGGCUAAAACUCAAAGGAAUUGACGG